This 427-nucleotide ribosomal RNA is filed under the name uncultured bacterium. RNAcentral describes it as "bacterial SSU rRNA". It matches the Rfam family "Bacterial small subunit ribosomal RNA", at positions 355 to 774 of the family's 1533-position model. The record is from RNAcentral.
UGGGGAAUUUUGGACAAUGGGCGCAAGCCUGAUCCAGCAAUGCCGCGUGCAGGAUGAAGGCCUUCGGGUUGUAAACUGCUUUUGUACGGAGCGAAAAGGUCUGCCCUAAUACGGUGGGCUCAUGACGGUACCGUAAGAAUAAGCACCGGCUAACUACGUGCCAGCAGCCGCGGUAAUACGUAGGGUGCGAGCGAUAAUCGGAAUUACUGGGCGUAAAGCGUGCGCAGGCGGUUAUAUAAGACAGAUGUGAAAUCCCCGGGCUCAACCUGGGACCUGCAUUUGUGACUGUAUAGCUAGAGGACGGUAGAGGGGGAUGGAAUUCCACGUGUAGCAGUGAAAUGCGUAGAUAUGCGGAGGAACACCGAUGGCGAAGGCAAUCCCCUGGACCUGUACUGACGCUCAUGCACGAAAGCGUGGGGAGCAAACA